RNAcentral lists this ribosomal RNA (301 nucleotides) under uncultured bacterium. RNAcentral describes it as "partial 16S ribosomal RNA". It matches the Rfam family "Bacterial small subunit ribosomal RNA", at positions 509 to 807 of the family's 1533-position model. The record is from RNAcentral.
CAGUAGCCGCGGUAAUACGUAGGGUGCAAGCGUUAAUCGGAUUUACUGGGCGUAAAGCGUGCGUAGGCGGCUUCUUAAGUCGGAUGUGAAAUCCCUGAGCUUAACUUAGGAAUUGCAUUCGAUACUGGGAAGCUAGAGUAUGGGAGAGGAUGGUAGAAUUCCAGGUGUAGCGGUGAAAUGCGUAGAGAUCUGGAGGAAUACCGAUGGCGAAGGCAGCCAUCUGGCCUAAUACUGACGCUGAGGUACGAAAGCAUGGGGAGCAAACAGGAUUAGAUACCCCCGUAGUCCCUGUCUCUUAUAC